RNAcentral lists this ribosomal RNA (451 nucleotides) under uncultured bacterium. Its description in RNAcentral is "partial 16S ribosomal RNA". It matches the Rfam family "Bacterial small subunit ribosomal RNA", at positions 28 to 507 of the family's 1533-position model. The record is from RNAcentral.
GAUGAACGCUGGCGGCGUGCCUAACACAUGCAAGUCGAGCGGCAGCGAGGGGUGCUUGCACCCUGUCGGCGAGCGGCGGACGGCUGAGUAACGCGUGGGAACGUGCCCCAAAGUGAGGAAUAACUGCCCGAAAGGGUAGCUAAUACCGCAUAUUAUCUUCGGAUCAAAGGAUUUAUCCGCUUUGGGAGCGGCUCGCGUCGGAUUAGGUAGUUGGUGAGGUAAUGGCUCACCAAGCCGACGAUCCGUAGCUGGUCUGAGAGGAUGACCAGCCAGACUGGAACUGAGACACGGUCCAGACUCCUACGGGAGGCAGCAGUGAGGAACCUUCCACAAUGGGCGAAAGCCUGAUGGAGCAACGCCGCGUGCAGGACGAAGGCCUUCGGGUUGUAAACUGCUUUUAUAAGUGAGGAAUAUGACGGUAACUUAUGAAUAAGGAUCGGCUAACUACGUG